RNAcentral lists this ribosomal RNA (432 nucleotides) under uncultured bacterium. RNAcentral's name for it is "bacterial SSU rRNA". It matches the Rfam family "Bacterial small subunit ribosomal RNA", at positions 29 to 507 of the family's 1533-position model. The record is from RNAcentral.
AACGAACGCUGGCGGCAGGCCUAACACAUCCAAGUCGAGCGAGACCUUCGGGUCUAGCGGCGGACGGGUUAGUAACGCGUGGGAACGUGCCCUUCUCUGCGGAAUAGCCACUGGAAACGGUGAGUAAUACCGCAUACGCCCUUCGGGGGAAAGAUUUAUCGGAGAAGGAUCGGCCCGCGUUAGAUUAGAUAGUUGGUGGGUAACGGCCUACCAAGUCUACGAUCUAUAGCUGGUUUUAGAGGAUGAUCAGCAACACUGGGACUGAGACACGGCCCAGACUCCUACGGGAGGCAGCAGUGGGGAAUCUUAGACAAUGGGCGCAAGCCUGAUCUAGCCAUGCCGCGUGUGUGAUGAAGGUCUUAGGAUCGUAAAGCACUUUCGCCAGGGAUGAUAAUGACAGUACCUGGUAAAGAAACCCCGGCUAACUCCGUG